Molecule: ribosomal RNA, 253 nt
Filed under: uncultured bacterium
Lineage: Bacteria
Description: partial 16S ribosomal RNA
Rfam family: Bacterial small subunit ribosomal RNA
Source: RNAcentral
UACAGAGGGUGCAAGCGUUAAUCGGAUUUACUGGGCGUAAAGCGUGAGUAGGUGGCUCGCCAAGUCGAUUGUGAAAGCCCUGGGCUCAACCUGGGAAUUGCAGUCGAUACUGGUGAACUAGAGUUCGGUAGAGGGUGACGGAAUUCCAGGUGUAGCGGUGAAAUGCGUAGAUAUCUGGAGGAAUACCGGUGGCGAAGGCGGCAUCCUGGACCGGCAUUGACGCUGAACAGCGAAAGCUAGGGGAGCAAACGGG